ACACUGGGACUGAGACACGGCCCGGACUCCUACGGGAGGCAGCAGCUAAGAAUCUUCCGCAAUGGGCGAAAGCCUGACGGAGCGACGCCGUGUGAACGAGGAAGGCCGAAAGGUUGUAAAGUUCUUUUCUUAGGGAAGAAUAAUGCAAGGAGUGGAAAGCUUUGCAGAUGACAUUAACUGAGGAAUAAGCCCCGGCCAAUUACGUGCCAGCAGCCGCGGUAAUACGUAUGGGGCGAGCGUUGUUCGGAAUUAUUGGGCGUAAAGGGCGUGUAGGCGGUUUUAUAAGCCUGGUGUGAAAUACCACAGCUCAACUGUGGAGACGCGCUGGGAACUGUAAGACUAGAGUUCAGGAGGGGAAGCUGGAAUUCCUGGUGUAGGGGUGAAAUCUGUAGAUAUCAGGAAGAACACCGAUGGCGAAGGCAAGCUUCUAGCCAUGGACUGACGCUGAGGCGCGAAAGCGUGGGGAGCGAACAGGAUUAGAUACCCUGGUAGUCCACGCUGUAAACGAUGUGCACUGGGUGUAGGGGGCGUUGAGCUCUCUGUGCCGUAGCUAACGCGUUAAGUGCACCGCCUGGGGAGUAUGCUCGCAAGGGUGAAACUCAAAGGAAUUGACGGGGGCCCGCACAAGCGGUGGAGCAUGUGGUUUAAUUCGAUAUACGCGAGGAACCUUACCAGGGCUUGACAUGUACUUGAAGGCUUAAGAGAUUAAGUCGACCUUUAGGGGACAGGUACACAGGUGCUGCAUGGCUGUCGUCAGCUCGUGUCGUGAGAUGUUGGGUUAAGUCCCGCAACGAGCGCAACCCUUACUGUCUGUUACCAGCAGGCCUUCGGGCGCUGGGGACUCAGGCAGAACUGCCGGUGACAAACCGGAGGAAGGUGGGGAUGACGUCAAGUCAUCAUGGCCCUUAUGUCCUGGGCUACACACGUGCUACAAUGGCAGGUACAAAGCGUUGCGAGACGGUGACGUCCUUAGCAAAUCGCAAAAAGCCUGUCUCAGUUCGGAUUGGAGUCUGAAACUCGACUCCAUGAAGUUGGAAUCGCUAGUAAUCGCGCAUCAGAAUGGCGCGGUGAAUAUGUUCCCGGGCCUUGUACACACCGCCCGUCACACCACCCGAGUUGGGGGUACCCGAAGUCGCUAGUCUAACUGUAAAGAGGACGGUGCCGAAGGUAUGCCUGGUAAGGGGGGUGAAGUCGGAACAAGGUA
Molecule: ribosomal RNA, 1204 nt
Filed under: metagenome
Description: bacterial SSU rRNA
Rfam family: Bacterial small subunit ribosomal RNA
Source: RNAcentral